Fopius arisanus is the source of this 1348-nucleotide long non-coding RNA. RefSeq lists it as uncharacterized. NCBI's taxonomy places the organism in Eukaryota, Metazoa, Arthropoda, Insecta, Hymenoptera, Braconidae. The transcript is spliced from 3 exons. The record is from RefSeq and is a predicted model, not a curated record.
GGAAUACCUAUUGUUGAAUAGCAGUUGGCGGUAUAGUUUGGUUUCGUUUGUUGUUAACUGCUGGGUGGAGAAUAGAUAGGAGAAUGACUGUGGGACUGACCUCUGGCCGGGGCUGUCGGCCAGGAUUUUCGGCUGCUGGGACUGUCGAGACUGUCGGGACUGGCAGAACUACCGGGACUCGGGAGCCCUAGAGCCGUGAAAGCCGUGAGACUCGUGAAUACCGCCAGAGCUCCUAUUAAGUAUUAUGCAUGUACAUACAUACACAGAGCUACAAGUUGCACUCUCGACCCUCUCAACACAUAGCCACUAGCACCUCAUCAACAGUGAGAUCAAGUGGGGACUUGAUCAAUUGAUUACAUUAUUACGAGAAUUCUCUUCUAAUUUACCGCAUCGGGACAUCAUUACACUUAAUACAUCUACUAUUCAUUAAGAAUUGGCGGCAGCGUUUAUUUAUUCUGGCACGGCAAAAUAUAAUCUAGGAAUAAUUGUCUCCAGGAAACCAAUACAAAUAUGGUGAGUCAAAAAGUUUUUGAAAAUUAAAAAAUAACGAAAUAGAUAUUUGAGUCCUUUUUUGACAAUGUAUUCCUUCAUUCAUACAAAACUUCAGUAUUCAAUUGCUCUUUUAUCAUUAUCAUAUAAUACUAAUUCAGGACCUGUUGAACAUCCUUGUGACACACCUUUUUCUCACUUAUUGAGUGAAUUUUAUAGAAAAAAUUAUGGCAUCUGCUGCAAACAGUUUAUAUAAUUUCUGUAAUAGUUCUAUUAUUUUUAACCUAUUUGCCAAUUCUCUUGAAGAAUUGAGAUUUCUUAUAAAUUGAGUUUAUUUAACAGAAUUUUUUUCACCAAUAUUGCAUUAAAAACCGAUAGACUCUGGACUCGUCUAGAGGAAUUCUUUGCCUUGACUUUUCUUUGUUUUUUUUUUUCUUUUUUCACCUGAGCUUUUUCAAUUAUAAAGUAGAGUUUCAAUAGAAAUUUAAUAAAAUCCUUUGGUGAAAAUUACGAAUUUUAUUCUAUUAAAUUCCUCCAUAUGCGUUUUUCUAGGAAAUUCUUCCUUGCGUUGGUGUUAAACAUUUCGCAGAGCAAUUCAACGAAUUUACAUAACUUGUUAGUGAUUUUUUAGUUCGUCCAUUGUUUUCUGCUUUGUACUUUAUAGCUACGAGUUUGAUUAUAAUUAUGUAUGGACGACUCAUUCAAGCGCUAAGGAACAUUAUAAUUGUCUAAUUUUGCGGAAAUUAUUGGGUAAUAAAGACGUGUUGAAUACUGUGCCAGUGUUGUCUGUCUCUUCAUAACAUAAUUUCUUAUUUUUUUUUUCUCUCUACGCCGUGUAAUUUGGUAAAAAAAAAAAAAA